Molecule: ribosomal RNA, 465 nt
Filed under: Vreelandella stevensii
Lineage: Bacteria; Pseudomonadati; Pseudomonadota; Gammaproteobacteria; Oceanospirillales; Halomonadaceae
Description: partial 16S ribosomal RNA
Rfam family: Bacterial small subunit ribosomal RNA
Source: RNAcentral
CCUACGGGAGGCUGCAGUGGGGAAUAUUGGACAAUGGGCAAAAGCCUGAUCCAGCCAUGCCGCGUGUGUGAAGAAGGCCUUCGGGUUGUAAAGCACUUUCAGUGGGGAAGAAAGCCUUGGGGCUAAUACCCUCGAGGAAGGACAUCACCCACAGAAGAAGCACCGGCUAACUCCGUGCCAGCAGCCGCGGUAAUACGGAGGGUGCGAGCGUUAAUCGGAAUUACUGGGCGUAAAGCGCGCGUAGGCGGUCUGAUAAGCCGGUUGUGAAAGCCCCGGGCUCAACCUGGGAACGGCAUCCGGAACUGUCAGGCUAGAGUGCAGGAGAGGAAGGUAGAAUUCCCGGUGUAGCGGUGAAAUGCGUAGAGAUCGGGAGGAAUACCAGUGGCGAAGGCGGCCUUCUGGACUGACACUGACGCUGAGGUGCGAAAGCGUGGGUAGCAAACAGGACUAGAUACCCCAGUAGUC